GCGAACGGGUGAGUAACACGUGGGCAAUCUGCCCUGCACUCUGAGGACAAGCCCUGGAAACGGGGUCUAAUACCGGAUAUGACCAUCUUGGGCAUCCUUGAUGGUGUAAAGCUCCGGCGGUGCAGGAUGAGCCCGCGGCCUAUCAGCUUGUUGGUGAGGUAACGGCUCACCAAGGCGACGACGGGUAGCCGGCCUGAGAGGGCGACCGGCCACACUGGGACUGAGACACGGCCCAGACUCCUACGGGAGGCAGCAGUGGGGAAUAUUGCACAAUGGGCGAAAGCCUGAUGCAGCGACGCCGCGUGAGGGAUGACGGCCUUCGGGUUGUAAACCUCUUUCAGCAGGGAAGAAGCGAAAGUGACGGUACCUGCAGAAGAAGCGCCGGCUAACUACGUGCCAGCAGCCGCGGUAAUACGUAGGGCGCAAGCGUUGUCCGGAAUUAUUGGGCGUAAAGAGCUCGUAGGCGGCUUGUCACGUCGGUUGUGAAAGCCCGGGGCUUAACCCCGGGUCUGCAGUCGAUACGGGCAGGCUAGAGUUCGGUAGGGGAGAUCGGAAUUCCUGGUGUAGCGGUGAAAUGCGCAGAUAUCAGGAGGAACACCGGUGGCGAAGGCGGAUCUCUGGGCCGAUACUGACGCUGAGGAGCGAAAGCGUGGGGAGCGAACAGGAUUAGAUACCCUGGUAGUCCA
RNAcentral lists this ribosomal RNA (686 nucleotides) under Streptomyces sp. CA_LC_3. Its description in RNAcentral is "bacterial SSU rRNA". It matches the Rfam family "Bacterial small subunit ribosomal RNA", at positions 98 to 797 of the family's 1533-position model. Lineage: Bacteria; Bacillati; Actinomycetota; Actinomycetes; Kitasatosporales; Streptomycetaceae. The record is from RNAcentral.